GAUGACAGAUCAAAGAUAGCCAAGCCUUCGGAAUCUUAAAGGUGUGUUCCAGGAAACCCUUAUCACUACUGUCGAGUCUAAUUCCAGUUGGUGGACCAACUGGGUGAUCCCAGCCAUCUCAGCCCUGGUGGUAGCUCUGAUGUAUCGCCUCUACAUGGCAGAAGAUUAACCUGUCUGUCCGAAGCCAAGGAAGGAAAAGACUGCCCCAGAGAGGGGAGAAAAGAAGCCAGUGUUAAUCACUUCCACUGACAGAAACCCUCCCCCUGAGAAUGUAAUUGUAAUAUAUCUGUCUCCCUCUCCUCCUAUGCUAGGAGAACAAACAUGGGACUCUUUGUACUCUUAAACUUUCAAAUGUGCCUUUUUACUCAACUUCAUUUUGACAUUUCUUCACUACGUAAUUUACUUAUUGUAAACAUGAUCUUUUUAAAAUAUAUCUGGCUUGUAAAGU
Molecule: long non-coding RNA, 448 nt
Filed under: Rattus norvegicus (Norway rat)
Lineage: Eukaryota; Metazoa; Chordata; Mammalia; Rodentia; Muridae
Description: long non-coding RNA NONRATT013635
Source: RNAcentral